Molecule: ribosomal RNA, 312 nt
Filed under: Boophis sp. 38 MV-2009
Lineage: Eukaryota; Metazoa; Chordata; Amphibia; Anura; Mantellidae
Description: partial 16S ribosomal RNA
Rfam family: Bacterial large subunit ribosomal RNA
Source: RNAcentral
AAGGGUGGGGUAAUUUUUAAGUAGCGGUGAUAAACCUACCGAACUUAGAGAUAGCUGGUUUUUUAAGAAAAGAAUUUUAGUUCAGCCCUAAGUUUUUCAGUUAAGCAAAAAACUUACAUAAACUUAAGAGUUACUCAAAUAAGGCACAGCUUAUUUGAGACAGGAUACAACCUUGAAUAUAGGGUAAGACAAACUAAAUUUUACAAGUGGGCCUAAAAGCAGCCACCUUUAAAAAAGCGUCAAAGCUUAACACUAUUAAACUAUACAAUUUCCUCAACAACCUCAAACCCUUAUCCUCUAUUAAAAAACUCC